Molecule: ribosomal RNA, 449 nt
Filed under: uncultured soil bacterium
Lineage: Bacteria
Description: bacterial SSU rRNA
Rfam family: Bacterial small subunit ribosomal RNA
Source: RNAcentral
AGAACGAACGCUGGCGGCAUGCCUAAUACAUGCAAGUCGAACGAACACUUCGGUGUUAGUGGCGCACGGGUGCGUAACGCGUGGGAAUCUGCCCUUGGGUUCGGAAUAACAGUUGGAAACGACUGCUAAUACCGGAUGAUAUCGAAAGAUCAAAGAUUUAUCGCCCAGGGAUGAGCCCGCGUAGGAUUAGCUAGUUGGUGAGGUAAAGGCUCACCAAGGCGACGAUCCUUAGCUGGUCUGAGAGGAUGAUCAGCCACACUGGGACUGAGACACGGCCCAGACUCCUACGGGAGGCAGCAGUAGGGAAUAUUGGACAAUGGGCGCAAGCCUGAUCCAGCAAUGCCGCGUGAGUAGAUGAAGGCCUAGGGUGUAAAGCUCUUUUACCCGAGAUGAUAAUGACAGUAAUCGGGAGAAUAAAGCCCCGGCUAAACUCCGUGCCAGCAAGCCGC